Molecule: unclassified non-coding RNA, 259 nt
Filed under: Glomus sp.
Lineage: Eukaryota; Fungi; Glomeromycota; Glomeromycetes; Glomerales; Glomeraceae
Description: partial contains 5.8S ribosomal RNA and internal transcribed spacer 2
Rfam family: 5.8S ribosomal RNA (bases 1-71)
Source: RNAcentral
GUGAAUCAUCAAAUUUUUGAACGCAAAUUGCACUCUCUGGUAUUCCGGAGAGUAUGCCUGUUUGAGGGUCAGUUUAAAUAAAAAGCGGUGUGGUGGCUGCCGUGCGUGGUGACGCACCGGGUGUGGGUCGUCUUGCCUUCGGUUGAGUGACCGAGAAUUUUGCAUGAUUUUUUGCGAACGUAUUUAAAUGAUUUUAUGUACGUUUGCGAUAUCGAAUACUAGUUGUGGUCAUCGUCAUGGGUCGCGCUAAUAAUUUUUG